UACAGAGGUCCCAAGCGUUGUUCGGAUUCAUUGGCGUAAAGGGUGCGUAGGCGGCGCGGUAAGUCGGGUGUGAAAUCUCGGGGCUUAAACUCCGAAACUGCAUUCGAUACUGCCGUGCUUGAGGACUGGAGAGGAGACUGGAAUUUACGGUGUAGCGGUGAAAUGCGUAGAUAUCGUAAGGAAGACCAGUGGCGAAGGCGGGU
This 203-nucleotide ribosomal RNA is filed under the name uncultured bacterium. Its description in RNAcentral is "partial 16S ribosomal RNA". It matches the Rfam family "Bacterial small subunit ribosomal RNA", at positions 524 to 726 of the family's 1533-position model. The record is from RNAcentral.